This 456-nucleotide ribosomal RNA is filed under the name uncultured bacterium. Its description in RNAcentral is "bacterial SSU rRNA". It matches the Rfam family "Bacterial small subunit ribosomal RNA", at positions 43 to 524 of the family's 1533-position model. The record is from RNAcentral.
CAGGCCUAACACAUGCAAGUCGAGCGAGGAGCUUGCUCCUAGCGGCGAACGGGUGAGUAACACGUGGGCAACCUGCCCUCAGCUCUGGGAUAACCCCGGGAAACCGGAGCUAAUACCGGAUACGACCUCCAUUGGCAUCAGCGGAGGUGGAAAGAAUUUCGGCUGAAGAUGGGCCCGCGGCCUAUCAUGCUUGUUGGUGGGGUAACGGCCUACCAAGGCGACGACGGGUAGCCGGCCUGAGAGGGCGACCGGCCACACUGGGACUGAGACACGGCCCAGACUCCUACGGGAGGCAGCAGUGGGGAAUAUUGCGCAAUGGGCAAAAGCCUGACGCAGCGACGCCGCGUGAGGGAUGAAGGCCUUCGGGUUGUAAACCUCUUUCAGCAGGGACGAAGCGAAAGUGACGGUACCUGCAGAAGAAGCACCGGCCAACUACGUGCCAGCAGCCGCGGUAAU